RNAcentral lists this long non-coding RNA (642 nucleotides) under Oncorhynchus kisutch (coho salmon). RNAcentral describes it as "lncRNA (ENSOKIG00005001590.1)". The record is from RNAcentral. Lineage: Eukaryota; Metazoa; Chordata; Actinopteri; Salmoniformes; Salmonidae.
AGAGGCGGAUAUUACAGAGAACUCCCGGAUGAUACGUGAUUCGUCAGAGGGACUGGUGUGAGAUUUUGGACAGUGCCGAGAGAGCGGUGACCCCCGGGGGGAGAGAGACGGGUGGGAGUGAAUACAGGAAGUACAGAAGCCGGUCAGGUGGGACGCGACGAGAUAACAUAGGUGACACCGGCGCACAGCUUUGUAUCCCUGGAAACCUUUUGGCUCUGCUGGAGAAGAACAGAAACAGGAAGACGUGGAAAAUAGAGAGGGAGGAAGAGAGCAGGGACCCGUCCUCAUCUGAGUUUAUGGACUGGAGAUGCACCUAAACCAACACCUCUCUCCCAGCCUCCUAUGUUUAAGAGGGGGAGAGAGGCUAAAACGAGUGUGUGAGAGAAGGAGAUAGAGGAGCCAGAGGAGCACUGAGAGCCAGAGGAGCACUGAGAGCCAGAGGAGCACUGAGAGCCAGAGGAGCACUGAGAGCCAGAGGAGCACUGAGAGCCAGAGGAGCACUGAGAGCCAGAGGAGCACUGAGAGCCAGAGGAGCACGUGGAGGAGGACAAACGGUCCUAAUUUCCUUCUCUCAGGCCUUGCUGUGUUGUUUUGUUUGGGAACAGCAGUUGUUUGGUUCCACCUGUGCUGUUCUGGUUGGGA